AUGCAGUCGANGGAAGGCCCAGAGCUUGCUUGGGUACUCGAGUGGCGAACGGGUGAGUAACACGUGGGUGAUCUGCCCUGCACUUCGGGAUAAGCCUGGGAAACUGGGUCUAAUACCGGAUAGGACGAUGGUUUGGAUGCCAUUGUGGAAAGUUUUUUCGGUGUGGGAUGAGCUCGCGGCCUAUCAGCUUGUUGGUGGGGUAAUGGCCUACCAAGGCGUCGACGGGUAGCCGGCCUGAGAGGGUGUACGGCCACAUUGGGACUGAGAUACGGCCCAAACUCCUACGGGAGGCAGCAGUGGGGAAUAUUGCACAAUGGGCGCAAGCCUGAUGCAGCGACGCCGCGUGGGGGAUGACGGCCUUCGGGUUGUAAACUCCUUUCGCUAGGGACGAAGCGUUUUUGUGACGGUACCUGGAGAAGAAGCACCGGCUAACUACGUGCCAGCAGCCGGCGGUANNAAA
This 460-nucleotide ribosomal RNA is filed under the name Corynebacterium mucifaciens. Its description in RNAcentral is "bacterial SSU rRNA". It matches the Rfam family "Bacterial small subunit ribosomal RNA", at positions 55 to 525 of the family's 1533-position model. The record is from RNAcentral. Lineage: Bacteria; Bacillati; Actinomycetota; Actinomycetes; Mycobacteriales; Corynebacteriaceae.